CGGGGAGGGUCAUUGGAAACUGGGGAACUUGAGUGCAGAAGAGGAGAGUGGAAUUCCACGUGUAGCGGUGAAAUGCGAUAGAGAUGUGGAGGAACACCAGUGGCGAAGGCGACUCUCUGGUCUGUAACUGACGCUGAGGAGCGAAAGCGUGGGGAGCGAACAGGAUUAGAUACCCUGGUAGUCCACGCCGUAAACGAUGAGUGCUAAGUGUUAGGGGGUUUCCGCCCCUUAGUGCUGCAGCUAACGCAUUAAGCACUCCGCCUGGGGAGUACGGUCGCAAGACUGAAACUCAAAGGAAUUGACGGGGGCCCGCACAAGCGGUGGAGCAUGUGGUUUAAUUCGAAGCAACGCGAAGAACCUUACCAGGUCUUGACAUCCUCUGACAAUCCUAGAGAUAGGACGUCCCCUUCGGGGGCAGAGUGACAGGUGGUGCAUGGUUGUCGUCAGCUCGUGUCGUGAGAUGUUGGGUUAAGUCCCGCAACGAGCGCAACCCUUGAUCUUAGUUGCCAGCAUUCAGUUGGGCACUCUAAGGUGACUGCCGGUGACAAACCGGAGGAAGGUGGGGAUGACGUCAAAUCAUCAUGCCCCUUAUGACCUGGGCUACACACGUGCUACAAUGGACAGAACAAAGGGUAGCGAAACCGCGAGGUUAAGCCAAUCCCACAAAUCUGUUCUCAGUUCGGAUCGCAGUCUGCAACUCGACUGCGUGAAGCUGGAAUCGCUAGUAA
RNAcentral lists this ribosomal RNA (728 nucleotides) under Bacillus tequilensis. Its description in RNAcentral is "bacterial SSU rRNA". It matches the Rfam family "Bacterial small subunit ribosomal RNA", at positions 614 to 1341 of the family's 1533-position model. The record is from RNAcentral. Lineage: Bacteria; Bacillati; Bacillota; Bacilli; Caryophanales; Bacillaceae.